GGGCGCAUAGCUCAGUUGGUUAGAGCGUUCGCUUCACACGCGAGAGGUCAGGGGUUCGAGUCCCUUUGCGCCCACCG
This 77-nucleotide transfer RNA is filed under the name Kytococcus sedentarius DSM 20547. RNAcentral describes it as "tRNA-Val". It matches the Rfam family "tRNA". From Rfam's summary of the family: Transfer RNA (tRNA) molecules are approximately 80 nucleotides in length. Their secondary structure includes four short double-helical elements and three loops (D, anti-codon, and T loops). Lineage: Bacteria; Bacillati; Actinomycetota; Actinomycetes; Micrococcales; Kytococcaceae. RNAcentral also lists the same sequence under 1 other name. The record is from RNAcentral.